Molecule: ribosomal RNA, 342 nt
Filed under: Heliobacterium chlorum
Lineage: Bacteria; Bacillati; Bacillota; Clostridia; Eubacteriales; Heliobacteriaceae
Description: bacterial SSU rRNA
Rfam family: Bacterial small subunit ribosomal RNA
Source: RNAcentral
UUUGUGGAGAGUUUGAUCCUGGCUCAGGACGAACGCUGGCGGCAUGCCUAACACAUGCAAGUCGAACGGAGAGCGGAAGUUUCGAUGGAAGCUCUUAGUGGCGGACGGGUGAGUAACGCGUGGAUAACCUGCCUGAGAGUGGGGGAUAACAGCCCGAAAGGGCUGCUAAUACCGCAUAACGUUCCUGGAGGACAUCCUCUGGGAACCAAAGGAGCAAUCCGCUCUUGGAUGGGUCCGCGUCCGAUUAGCUAGUUGGUGAGGUAACAGCUCACCAAGGCGACGAUCGGUAGCCGGCCUGAGAGGGUGAACGGCCACACUGGGACUGAGACACGGCCCAGACUC